AUUGAACGCUAGCGGGAUGCUUUACACAUGCAAGUCGAACGGCAGCGCGGACUUCGGUCUGGCGGCGAGUGGCGAACGGGUGAGUAAUGUAUCGGAACGUGCCCAGUAGCGAGGGAUAACUACGCGAAAGCGUAGCUAAUACCGCAUACGCCCUACGGGGGAAAGCAGGGGAUCGUAAGACCUUGCACUAUUGGAGCGGCCGAUAUCGGAUUAGCUAGUUGGUGAGGUAACGGCUCACCAAGGCGACGAUCCGUAGCUGGUUUGAGAGGACGACCAGCCACACUGGGACUGAGACACGGCCCAGACUCCUACGGGAGGCAGCAGUGGGGAAUUUUGGACAAUGGGGGCAACCCUGAUCCAGCCAUCCCGCGUGUGCGAUGAAGGCCUUCGGGUUGUAAAGCACUUUUGGCAGGAAAGAAACGUCGCGGGCUAAUACCCCGUGGAACUGACGGUACCUGCAGAAUAAGCACCGGCUAACUACGUG
This 484-nucleotide ribosomal RNA is filed under the name uncultured bacterium. Its description in RNAcentral is "partial 16S ribosomal RNA". It matches the Rfam family "Bacterial small subunit ribosomal RNA", at positions 30 to 507 of the family's 1533-position model. The record is from RNAcentral.